Molecule: ribosomal RNA, 482 nt
Filed under: uncultured bacterium
Lineage: Bacteria
Description: partial 16S ribosomal RNA
Rfam family: Bacterial small subunit ribosomal RNA
Source: RNAcentral
GACGAACGCUGGCGGCGUGCUUAACACAUGCAAGUCGAACGAUGAAGCAGAGAAACGCGCCCUUCGGUUCAAAUUUCACUUCGGAUUAGUGGCAGACGGGUGAGUAACGCGUGAGCAACCUACCUCUUACAAAGGGAUAGCCUCGGGAAACCGUGAUUAAUACCAUAUGACACAUUCAUAAGGCAUCUUAAGACUGUUAAAGCUACGGCGGUAAGAGAUGGGCUCGCGUCCCAUUAGCUAGUUGGUGAGGUAACGGCCCACCAAGGCGACGAUGGGUAACCGGCCUGAGAGGGUGAACGGUCACAUUGGAACUGAGACACGGUCCAAACUCCUACGGGAGGCAGCAGUGGGGAAUAUUGCACAAUGGAGGGAACUCUGAUGCAGCGACGCCGCGUGAGCGAUGAAGGAAUUCGUUUCGUAAAGCUCUGUUCUAUGGGAAGAAAAGGACUGUACCAUAGGAGAAAGCCCCGGCUAAAUACGUG